GGAGGGUUGCGCCGAAUGGUAAGGCAGCAGUCUUGAAAACUGCGGUCCCGAAAGGGACUUGGAGGUUCGAGUCCUCCACCCUCCG
This 85-nucleotide transfer RNA is filed under the name bacterium. Its description in RNAcentral is "tRNA-Ser". It matches the Rfam family "tRNA". Rfam says of the family: Transfer RNA (tRNA) molecules are approximately 80 nucleotides in length. Their secondary structure includes four short double-helical elements and three loops (D, anti-codon, and T loops). Further hydrogen bonds mediate the characteristic L-shaped molecular structure. tRNAs have two regions of fundamental functional importance: the anti-codon, which is responsible for specific mRNA codon recognition, and the 3' end, to which the tRNAs corresponding amino acid is attached (by aminoacyl-tRNA synthetases). tRNAs cope with the degeneracy of the genetic code in two manners: having more than one tRNA (with a specific anti-codon) for a particular amino acid; and 'wobble' base-pairing, i.e. permitting non-standard base-pairing at the 3rd anti-codon position. The record is from RNAcentral.